This 484-nucleotide ribosomal RNA is filed under the name uncultured bacterium. RNAcentral describes it as "partial 16S ribosomal RNA". It matches the Rfam family "Bacterial small subunit ribosomal RNA", at positions 899 to 1397 of the family's 1533-position model. The record is from RNAcentral.
ACUCAAAGGAAUUGACGGGGACCCGCACAAGCAGCGGAGCGUGUGGUUUAAUUCGAUGCAACGCGCAGAACCUUACCAGGACUUGACAUGCUCUCGCACCAGCCGUUAUGGGCUGUCUGCGCAAGCAGCGGGAGCACCGGUGCUGCAUGGCUGUCGUCAGCUCGUGUCGUGAGAUGUUGGGUUCAGUCCCGCAACGAGCGCAACCCCUGCCGUGAGUUACUCUCUCUCACGGAACUGCCGUGAUCAACACGGAGGAAGGCGGGGAUGACGUCAAGUCAGCACGGCCCUGACGUCCUGGGCGACACACACGCUACAAUGGCCGAGACAACGGGUCGCCAACCCGCGAGGGGGAGCCAAUCCCAACAAACUCGGUCUCAGUUCAGAUUGCAGGCUGCAACUCGCCUGCAUGAAGUCGGAGUUGCUAGUAACCGUGGGUCAGCACACCACGGUGAAUACGUUCCCGGGUCUUGUACACACCGCCCGU